This 1307-nucleotide ribosomal RNA is filed under the name Hygrotus nigrolineatus. RNAcentral's name for it is "16S ribosomal RNA". The stretch from base 1063 to 1221 matches the Rfam family "Archaeal large subunit ribosomal RNA", at positions 2544 to 2703 of the family's 2987-position model. Lineage: Eukaryota; Metazoa; Arthropoda; Insecta; Coleoptera; Dytiscidae. The record is from RNAcentral.
AAAUAAAUAAUUAUUCAUUUUGUUUGGUUUUAUUUAUAUAAUAAAAAUAAUUUUAAAAAUUUGUAUUUAAGUAUAUUUUAUAGAAAAAAUUAGUUUAAUUAUAGUUUAUUAGUAUUGUGAAAGAAGUUUUAAUUUUAAUUUUUAUAUAAAAGUAAAAUUUAUUUUUUGUACCUUGUGUAUCAGGGUUUAUUAAUUAAUUAAUAUAAAAUUUAUUAUUCCCGAUUUUAAGAGAGAUAAUAGAUAAUUUUAUUUAUUGUUAAAAAAAUAUUUAUAAUUAUUUGUUAGUAAUGAAAAGUUAUUCGUUCUUAAAUGUAUCUGGUUUAUUUAUAAAUGAAUUUAAUUCAGUUAAUUUAAUUUAAUUAAUUUAAAUAUUUAAUUUAAUUAAUUAAUUUAAUAAUAAUUAAAGGGAUAAGCUUUUAAUUAAAUUUCUAUAAUUUUUUUAGUUAGAAAUAAGUUUAUAGGUUUAGAAAUAUCCAUUAUUUUUAUGAUGUUAUAAUUAAUUUAUAGGUCAAUAUUAUUUUAAAAUUAUUUAGUUUUUUAUAAAUAAGUAAUAUUAAACAAUAAAAUUUUAGUUAUAAUGAUAAAAUUAGUAUAUUAAUAAUUGUUUGAAAUAUUUAUUGAUUUAAAUUUAUUUAAAUUAAUUCGGCAAAAUUAUUAUUCGCCUGUUUAACAAAAACAUGUCCUUUAGGAUUAGUAUUUAAGGUCUAACCUGCCCAUUGAUUAAUAUUUAACGGCCGCAGUAAUUUGACUGUGCAAAGGUAGCAUAAUCAUUAGUUUUUUAAUUGAAAGCUUGUAUGAAUGGUUGGACGAGAUAAAAACUGUCUCUAAAUAAUAAAUAGAAUUUAAUUUUUAAGUUAAAAAGCUUAAAUUUAUUUAAAAGACGAGAAGACCCUAUAGAUCUUUAUAUAAUUUUUUUUAAUUUUAUAAAUGAUUAUUUAAUUGAUUAAAAUUUUUUAUAUUUUAUUGGGGUAAUAUAUAGAUUAAAUAAAUUCUUUUAGAUUUAACAUUAAUUAAUGAUUUUGGGAUCCAUUUUUAAUGAUUAUAAGAUUAAGUUACCUUAGGGAUAACAGCGUAAUUUUUUUAGAGAGUUCUUAUCGAUAAAAAAGUUUGCGACCUCGAUGUUGGAUUAAAAAUUAUUUUAGGCGUAGAAGUUUAAAAUUUUGGUCUGUUCGACCAUUGAAUUUUUACAUGAUCUGAGUUCAGACCGGUGUAAGCCAGGUCGGUUUCUAUCUUUAUAAAAUUAAAAUAUUUUAGUACGAAAGGACCGAAUAUUAAAUAUAUUAAUAUUUUAGAUUUUGAUUUAAAUU